RNAcentral lists this transfer RNA (69 nucleotides) under Phocoena spinipinnis (Burmeister's porpoise). Its description in RNAcentral is "tRNA-Thr". It matches the Rfam family "tRNA". From Rfam's summary of the family: Transfer RNA (tRNA) molecules are approximately 80 nucleotides in length. The record is from RNAcentral. Lineage: Eukaryota; Metazoa; Chordata; Mammalia; Artiodactyla; Phocoenidae.
GUCUUUGUAGUAUAUAAAUACUUUGGUCUUGUAAACCGAAAAAGGAGGGUCCCACUCCUCCCUAAGACU